Molecule: ribosomal RNA, 492 nt
Filed under: uncultured bacterium
Lineage: Bacteria
Description: partial 16S ribosomal RNA
Rfam family: Bacterial small subunit ribosomal RNA
Source: RNAcentral
AGUGAACGCUGGCGGUAGGCCUAACACAUGCAAGUCGAACGGCAGCACAGUAAGAGCUUGCUCUUACGGGUGGCGAGUGGCGGACGGGUGAGGAAUACAUCGGAAUCUACUUUUUCGUGGGGGAUAACGUAGGGAAACUUACGCUAAUACCGCAUACGACCUACGGGUGAAAGCAGGGGAUCUUCGGACCUUGCGCGAUUGAAUGAGCCGAUGUCGGAUUAGCUAGUUGGCGGGGUAAAGGCCCACCAAGGCGACGAUCCGUAGCUGGUCUGAGAGGAUGAUCAGCCACACUGGAACUGAGACACGGUCCAGACUCCUACGGGAGGCAGCAGUGGGAAAUAUUGGACAAUGGGCGCAAGCCUGAUCCAGCCAUACCGCGUGGGUGAAGAAGGCCUUCGGGUUGUAAAGCCCUUUUGUUGGGAAAGAAAAGCAGCAGGUUAAUACCCCGCUGUUCCGACGGUACCCAAAGAAUAAGCACCGGCUAACUUCGUG